Molecule: ribosomal RNA, 488 nt
Filed under: uncultured bacterium
Lineage: Bacteria
Description: partial 16S ribosomal RNA
Rfam family: Bacterial small subunit ribosomal RNA
Source: RNAcentral
AUUGAACGCUGGCGGCAGGCCUAACACAUGCAAGUCGAGCGGGGUUUUCGGACCUAGCGGCGGACGGGUGAGUAAUGCGUAGGAAGCUACCCGAUAGAGGGGGAUACCAGUUGGAAACGACUGUUAAUACCGCAUAAUGUCUACGGACCAAAGUGUGGGACCUUCGGGCCACAUGCUAUCGGAUGCGCCUACGUGGGAUUAGCUAGUUGGUGAGGUAAUGGCUCACCAAGGCGACGAUCUCUAGCUGGUUUGAGAGGAUGAUCAGCCUCACUGGAACGGAGACACGGUCCAGACUCCUACGGGAGGCAGCAGUGGGGAAUAUUGGACAAUGGGCGCAAGCCUGAUCCAGCCAUGCCGAGUGUGUGAAGAAGGCCUUCGGGUUGUAAAGCACUUUCGGCGAGGAAGAAAUGGCAACGGCUAAUAUCCGUUGUUGAUGACGGUACCCGCAUAAGAAGCACCGGCUAACUACGUGCCAGCCGCCGCAGUAA